GUAGCACGUGCGGAGAGCACAUCGUUCACAUCGAUGGGGUCACAGGUUCGAGUCCUGUUGCGACCA
This 66-nucleotide transfer RNA is filed under the name Clostridia bacterium. RNAcentral's name for it is "tRNA-Val". It matches the Rfam family "tRNA". From Rfam's summary of the family: Transfer RNA (tRNA) molecules are approximately 80 nucleotides in length. Their secondary structure includes four short double-helical elements and three loops (D, anti-codon, and T loops). Further hydrogen bonds mediate the characteristic L-shaped molecular structure. tRNAs have two regions of fundamental functional importance: the anti-codon, which is responsible for specific mRNA codon recognition, and the 3' end, to which the tRNAs corresponding amino acid is attached (by aminoacyl-tRNA synthetases). tRNAs cope with the degeneracy of the genetic code in two manners: having more than one tRNA (with a specific anti-codon) for a particular amino acid; and 'wobble' base-pairing, i.e. permitting non-standard base-pairing at the 3rd anti-codon position. The record is from RNAcentral. Lineage: Bacteria; Bacillati; Bacillota; Clostridia.